This is a long non-coding RNA of Gadus macrocephalus (Pacific cod), 577 nucleotides long. RefSeq lists it as uncharacterized. The record is from RefSeq and is a predicted model, not a curated record. The transcript has 2 exons. NCBI's taxonomy places the organism in Eukaryota, Metazoa, Chordata, Actinopteri, Gadiformes, Gadidae.
AUAACAAAAAAUAAGUCAUUUUGCCACCACAGGCAUAUAGUGCGUUCAAAACUCUGGGUGUACCUGUAAGUUACACCAGACCUAGAUGGUCGACAAAGUAUUAUUAUACCUUAUUGUUUUAACACAUUUUAUACAUUGGUGCAUACACAAGUGCUUUCAUCAAGUUAAUAUCUUGAUGAAACCCCCUUUGUAUUAAUGUCUUAAGGACACAGAUGAAUCAACCCUUCUUGACCAUAUACACUGCAAUAUAACGAAUGUCACUUAUCUUAAUGUUUUCACCAGGUCACCACAGAAGUCACAGACAUCGCAGUCACUCAAAGUAUCGAGAGAAGAGUUCAAAGAAAAGUCACAAGAAGAGCCGAAGAGGAAACGACUAGUCCAUUCUGUCUUUCUACGUAUUAUUUUAAUUUAGCGUGUUCUGUCUCUUUUUUCAUUCUUAUUGAGACUUCAAAAUAAACAGGGAAAUGCCAUUCCAUAACGUGUCACGUUUGCAAGGAACUUUGACCCGAUAGCCAAUGGUGAGUGGAGGUGGAGGAUCCCCACCCAGUUCAGUCCAUUCCUCCUCCCUCUGGACAAU